Prinia subflava (tawny-flanked prinia) is the source of this 1011-nucleotide long non-coding RNA. RefSeq lists it as uncharacterized. The record is from RefSeq and is a predicted model, not a curated record. The transcript has 3 exons. NCBI's taxonomy places the organism in Eukaryota, Metazoa, Chordata, Aves, Passeriformes, Cisticolidae.
CACACACACACACGCGCGCACAGAGGAAAAGAAGAAAAAAUCGGCAGGAAAAUUGUGAGAAGUUGGUCACCAUUUUGGACCUGUUCAGUGCAGUCAGACCUUGGCAGCCAUCUUACAGCUUGGCAACCAUUUUGAGAAUGUGCCUGGCAAGCUCUCAGAGCUCGCCGACACUGUUUCAACACAGCGCUGGUUAAAUAUAGUCCAAAUUAAACAAUACCGUGGAAUAUCAGAGACAAAAGGAAAAGUUUGAGGAGAAAAAAAGCCAUCCCAGCAGCCAGACAUCUUAGGGAAGGCUGGUUUAUUGAGAGAGCCCGAUGGCGGGGCGAGCUGUAAACAAACACUUCCCUUCUUCUCCCCACCCUGCGAGAUCGGCGUGUUUUUGGACCGAACGCCCUUCACUCUCACAGUGCCAAAAUCCCGAGGAAGACUUUGUGCCAGAUGAAGAAAGGCACGGUUGUCAGAAACAGCUCUGGCCCAGGAGUAGGAAAAGUGCCGUGAGGAGCUGAGAGAAGUGCCUCGGUACUGUUCCUCGAGGCCAGGGGGUACAGCAAGAGGAAGUGCUACGUGGUGAACAUCCAUCUACCUCUUCUCCAAAUCUGCAGCAGAAGAAUGACAGCAGCAGCCUUCUCCACCACUGACAUGUUCUUCAGGAAUAAAGAACUCAGUCACUCAAGAAGCAAGGGGCUAAAUGGGUUCUUGCAGAAGAGAUUUGACAAAAGAUGAGGGGCAGAAAGACACCAAACCACUGUCACAAAAAACAAAUCCGUAUUACAGAGAUGCACAAGAGAUUACUCUUGUACUAAUGCUUGUAAGACUCAAUAAAUGCAGAAAAGACCUGCACAUUGCUCACAACUCAAGCUUCUCUCAUGGAUUCAGGUCCUUCACAUCACCAGAGAAAACAUAUGUUGUAAAAUACCAUUUAUGCAAUAUUCUUCUUGUCUUAGCUGUCCUGGUUAUGGAGGUGCUAAGAAAAGAACCCUGAAUGGGAGCUUUUUAAUCAAUAAAAACUUU